CAGUCGCCGCGGUAAUACAGAGGGUGCAAGCGUUAAUCGGAAUUACUGGGCGUAAAGGGCGCGUAGGUGGUUGUGUAAGUGAGAUGUGAAAUCCCCGGGCUCAACCUGGGAACUGCGUCUUAUACUGCAUAGCUUGAGUACAAUAGAGGGUAGUGGAAUUUCCGGUGUAGCGGUGAAAUGCGUAGAUAUCGGAAGGAACACCAGUGGCGAAGGCGGCUACCUGGAUUGAUACUGACACUGAGGCGCGAGAGCGUGGGGAGCAAACAGGAUUAGAUACCCCAGUAGUCCCUGUCUCUUAUAC
This 301-nucleotide ribosomal RNA is filed under the name uncultured bacterium. RNAcentral describes it as "partial 16S ribosomal RNA". It matches the Rfam family "Bacterial small subunit ribosomal RNA", at positions 509 to 807 of the family's 1533-position model. The record is from RNAcentral.